GAACUUGCAUUGUUUCUUUUUACCAGUAAAGAAGAAGCAUUAUUAAUGAGAACAAGUACUCGCAUUGUUAUUGGGUGAACCUAUGUAGUUGUUAGUGACAGAAGGUUCAGUAAAUGAUGCCACUAGU
Molecule: small nucleolar RNA, 127 nt
Organism: Juglans microcarpa x Juglans regia
Lineage: Eukaryota; Viridiplantae; Streptophyta; Magnoliopsida; Fagales; Juglandaceae
Product: small nucleolar RNA snoR74
Exons: 1
Source: RefSeq, a predicted model, not a curated record